Molecule: ribosomal RNA, 559 nt
Filed under: human gut metagenome
Description: bacterial LSU rRNA
Rfam family: Bacterial large subunit ribosomal RNA
Source: RNAcentral
GCUUAACUGAGAGACAGACAUGUCGACCAGAUACGAAAGUAGGGCUUAGUGAUCCGGUGGUUGUAAAUGGAAAUGCCAUCGCUCAACGGACAAAAGUUACCCUGGGGAUAACAGGCUUAUCUCCCCCAAGAGUUCACAUCGACGGGGAGGUUUGGCACCUCGAUGUCGGCUCAUCGCAUCCUGGAGCGGAAGUACGUUCCAAGGGUUGGGCUGUUCGCCCAUUAAAGCGGUACGCGAGCUGGGUUCAGAACGUCGUGAGACAGUUCGGUCCUUAUCUAUCGCAGGCGUAAGAUAUUUGAAGAGUGCUGUCCUUAGUACGAGAGGACCAGGAUGGACAUACCAAUGGUGUAUCAGUUGUCUCACCAGAGGCACGGCUGAGUAGCUAAGUAUGGAUUGGAUAAACGCUGAAAGCAUCUAAGUGUGAAGCCAACUCUAAGAUAAGAUAUCUCAUAUCGUAAGGUAGUAAGAUUCCAUAAAGACUAUGUGGUUGAUAGGUUGGAGGUGUAAGUGUAGCGAUACAUUGAGCUGACCAAUACUAAUAAAUCGAGGGCUUAACCAC